CAUUUUACCCUUUUGUCCCAUUUUGGUGAAUUAUGGCUAGAGAAUCCUAUGUAAUCUUGCAAAAUCUAGCAAAUUAUUGAAGGGGGAAUAAUUAUAACCUAGCAUGUGACUUAUAGCUCAAUUAUCAAUCAUCUAGAAUUUACUAGAUUCCUUGAAUUAUAACUUAUAUAGAUUAAAAGUGAGAAAAGCCUCACUUUAAUUAUCAAACUUGUCCAAGACUUAGAGAGGGAGAAAGAGAGAAAGAGAGAGAAGAGGAGGGUGAAGGUUCAUCCAUGGAAGAAGAAAAAGAAGGAGAGCAUGAAAAUCAGAGGUAUAUACAUUUUGUUAUGUAAUUUUUGAUUAUUGUAAAUCAAACCUUGAAUCUAUAUUUCUAAACUCAAAAACCAUGUAUAUACAUGUAUAUAUGAGUGUAUCAUGUUUAGAUCUAACAAUAUUGGGUGUUGAUUUUGGUUGGAAUCAAAGGAAUAGAAAAAUGGAAUUUUCCCGGGAAAAGUUAAACUUUUAAAAAGUGUUUUGAUAUGGUGUUUUAGAUCAAGUGUUGAACUUAUGAUUUUGAGUCAUAUGAGGGUAGGUCUACAUAAUAUAUGAUAUUUUAUGGUUAGAUCUUGCCAUUUUUAGGGUUGAUGAGCUUGAACAAAGAAGAAGAACCAAAACAGUUUUUAAAAAAAUAAUCUAG
This 676-nucleotide long non-coding RNA is filed under the name Panax ginseng (ginseng). RNAcentral describes it as "long non-coding RNA (PGIN_LNC014534)". The record is from RNAcentral. Lineage: Eukaryota; Viridiplantae; Streptophyta; Magnoliopsida; Apiales; Araliaceae.